CCUACGGGAGGCAGCAGUGAGGAAUAUUGGUCAAUGGGCGGAAGCCUGAACCAGCCAAGUAGCGUGCAGGAUGACGGCCCUACGGGUUGUAAACUGCUUUUAUACGGGAAUAACGCGCCUUACGUGUAGGGCUUUGCAUGUACCGUAUGAAUAAGGACCGGCUAAUUCUGUGCCAGCAGCCGCGGUAAUACGGAAGGUCCGGGCGUUAUCCGGAUUUAGUGGGUUUAAAGGGAGCGUAGGCCGCAUGUCAAGCGUGCUGUGAAAUGUCCGGGCUCAACCCGGGCCUUGCAGCGCGAACUGGCGGGCUUGAGUGCGCGGGAGGCAGGCGGAAUUCGUCGUGUAGCGGUGAAAUGCUUAGAUAUGACGAAGAACCCCGAUUGCGAAGGCAGCUUGCUGCAGCGGAACUGACGCUGAUGCUCGAAAGCGCGGGUAUCGAACAGGAUUAGAUACCCGGGUAGUC
This 460-nucleotide ribosomal RNA is filed under the name uncultured bacterium. Its description in RNAcentral is "partial 16S ribosomal RNA". It matches the Rfam family "Bacterial small subunit ribosomal RNA", at positions 338 to 795 of the family's 1533-position model. The record is from RNAcentral.